Molecule: ribosomal RNA, 403 nt
Filed under: uncultured bacterium
Lineage: Bacteria
Description: partial 16S ribosomal RNA
Rfam family: Bacterial small subunit ribosomal RNA
Source: RNAcentral
AUUGAACGCUGGCGGCAGGCCUAACACAUGCAAGUCGAGCGAGCGGCGGACGGGUGAGUAAUGUAUGGGGACUGCCCGAUAGAGGGGGAUAACUACUGGAAACGGUGGCUAAUACCGCAUACUAUCGGAUAACCCAUAUGGGAUUAGCUAGUAGGUGGGGUAAAGGCUCACCAAGGCGACGAUCUCUAGCUGAUCUGAGAGGAUGAUCAGCCACACUGGGACUGAGACACGGCCCAGACUCCUACGGAGGCAGCAGUGGGGAAUCUUGCACAAUGGGCGCAAGCCUGAUGCAGCCAUGCCGCGUGAAUGAAGAAGGUCUUAGGGUCGUAAAGUUCUUUUGGAGGGGAGGCGUUACCCGAAGAGGAAGCACCGGCUAACUCCGUGCCAGCAGCCGCGGUAAUUC